Molecule: ribosomal RNA, 253 nt
Filed under: uncultured bacterium
Lineage: Bacteria
Description: partial 16S ribosomal RNA
Rfam family: Bacterial small subunit ribosomal RNA
Source: RNAcentral
UACGUAGGGUGCAAGCGUUGUCCGGAAUUAUUGGGCGUAAAGAGCUCGUAGGCGGUUCGUCACGUCGGCUGUGAAAUCCCGAGGCUCAACCUCGGGUCUGCAGUCGAUACGGGCGGACUUGAGUACUGCAGGGGAGACUGGAAUUCCUGGUGUAGCGGUGAAAUGCGCAGAUAUCAGGAGGAACACCGGUGGCGAAGGCGGGUCUCUGGGCAGUAACUGACGCUGAGGCGCGAAAGCGUGGGGAGCAAACAGG